CUAACCAGGCCGGUGGUGGCCCUGUGCAUCCUGGUCAACAGCACAGGGCCACCAAAAAAACAAGGGCCCGUUUGUUUAGCCAAAGGUACAUAUUAUUGAAAAAAAAAAUGAAUAGGCUCUUAGUUAAUGAGUCGAUUAUUCAACAACUCCCCAAGCUUAAUUUCCUUGAUUCACGCUCCAUUCCAAUAUUCAUCUUCAAUUCACGCUCCAUUCUCAAGAUUCAUCUCCCUAAAUUUCUCAUUCUUUUCAAUAUUAUUCCAAAUUCCUAAUUUCGUAUUUUCAAUCCUUCUAUAUUCCCAACAAUUUUCAUUAAACACUUUUAGAUUUUGGCGGAAGAAUCAAGAAUUCAUCUGAUCUUUCACAUCAUAUAUUCAAUUCGAUUUAUCGUUUAUGAAUCAAGAAUUCAUCUGAUCUUUCUCCAAUUUAUCAUUACAAUUUGGAAAUUUCAAAUUUCGAUUGAUAAUUUGGAUCCUCUAGUUGCUUAGAAUUGGAAAAGAGUGAGGUUUAGGGAUUUUUUGAAGAUGAAGAACGAGAAUCGCAGAGGCAAAUUAAAAGCUAAAGAUUAAGAGCACUGGAGCAGGCGGUCAGAUUGCAUCGUACCAUCUUUUACUUUUAAUUGCAUAUUAUUAUUAUGUGUUUUAUUGUUUCUUUAAAUAAUUGUUGGGUUGUAAUGGGAUUUUAUUUAAAUUUUAAAUAAACUUUUUUUUAGGUUUUUUGUUUAGAUUUGUAGGAAUAAAAGUGUAAUGCUGGUAAAGUAAUAUUUUGAUUAUCACACUUUUUUAUAAUAUUAGGGCCCAUUUUGAAGAUUUGGAUAAGAUUAGAAUAGGGCCUUCGAAAUGUUUAAGACGACCCUGGAUCUAACUAUUGGAAUUCAGGCUUUUAGGGGAAAGAGACAAAGAUGCUGAUCGUGGGAUUAUAUUAGGGGGAUUCUUAUUCUUUUUAUUUUAUGUAAAAUUAAUUUUAUUUUUGUUCUGACUGCUUUUUAAUAUUAUCUAAAGUUAACUAAAUCGAUGGUUAA
Molecule: long non-coding RNA, 1018 nt
Organism: Spinacia oleracea (spinach)
Lineage: Eukaryota; Viridiplantae; Streptophyta; Magnoliopsida; Caryophyllales; Amaranthaceae
Exons: 2
Source: RefSeq, a predicted model, not a curated record